This is a long non-coding RNA of Felis catus (domestic cat), 3931 nucleotides long. RefSeq lists it as uncharacterized. The record is from RefSeq and is a predicted model, not a curated record. NCBI's taxonomy places the organism in Eukaryota, Metazoa, Chordata, Mammalia, Carnivora, Felidae. The transcript is spliced from 3 exons.
GGUACAUUGAAAGAUGCUCAACAUCACUAAUCAUUGGGGAAAUGCAAAUCAAAACCACACUGAGAUAUCACCUCACACCUGUUAGAAUGGCUACUAUCAAACAGACAAGAAUUAACAAGAGUUGGCGAGGACGUAGACAAAACGGAAUCCUUGUGCACUUUGGUGGACAUGUAAAUCGAUGCAAGCACUUUGGAAAACAGCAUGAAGUUUCCUCAAAAAAUUAAAAAUAGAGCUGCCUUGAAUCUCAGUCAAGGUAGCUUUGCAAUGCCAAGGUCAGGGUCCUGGUUGGGAAAACCUUGACACAUCCGAUGAGUAUAUCUGGGUUGAUGCCCCUAAAGGUUUUGGCUCCUCAGACUUUUCUGAAACUUUAGAGCCUGCAACGGUUGCUCACCCCUAACUAGGAAGAGCUAGCAUUCCCUUAUGGGAAGAUUCUGUAGAGGCUUCGAAAACAAGACAACAAGGUCCCUUUCAGUAUCUGCACCCCCACCCCCUCCUGGUUGCCAGCCGGACAACUGGGGAAAAGUCGUAGCAUAGCCUCAUUAAAUCAAUGCUGGGCCUGAUAAGAGAGAAAGGGGUGUGAAAAUUAGUAGCAGAAAAAAUCGCUAAAAUGUAGCUGGGAGGUUAUGCAGGGGGCGCUCUCAGGCCCUACCACUCCUCAUCAACUGCUCACCCAAGAAGAGAGGGACCCUGCGGGUGGAUGCUACUUCAGGCUACUCCACCUGCAGGAAGAAAGGCUUUACUUAUCAUCCCAGCAACAGCUCAGCCAAUGAGAGACGAUCGCCAAGUCCAGCCAAUGAGAGACUAACAAGCCCAGCCAAUGGGAGACUCUCACAGCCCAGCCAAUGAGAAGACACUUUACUUCAAACUCCUAGUUUGCUCCCCUGGACUUUUUGCCUAUAACCGCCGGCCCAACUUAUGUUCCCCCUCUUUGCUCUUUAAAAGAGUCCGCCUCCCCUUUGCUCUUUGGACUCACCAGUGGUUUUGCUGUAGUUUGCUUGCCCACGUGGCAAUUCUCUUUUAUUCCCCGAUAAACCUAUCUUUUGCUGGUAAGGUAACUGGAAGUUUUAUUUUUAAGGCUAACAGGGGCUAUCUGCCAAAGGAGCUGCGAGAAUGAGCCAUGGAAUGGAUUUUGAAGGUGCUUGAUCAGGGGGCCAAACAUGCGACUAUAAAAGGGAGAGUUUGUUGACGUAAGGCAUUCUCUCAGGAUAUGGAUUUAAUACCCUGGCAAGGACCCCAGGGGAUAGGAAACUUGCUGCCAAAGUGGCUGAAAAUCUUCCAAACUUGAUGAAAACAAUAAGCCCACAGAUCCAAGAAGCUCAACAAACCUCAAGCAGAAUAAAUAUAGGAAAAUCGCACCAGGGCACAUCAUAAUCAAAUUGAUGAAAAUGAGAAUUAAAGAAAAACUCUUUAGAACGCUCAGAGAAAAAAUGCAUUGCAUGCAGAGCAACAAAGUGACGUCAAUAAUCUUUUUGAGUGAGAGCAACCACACCAUCCAGGGACAAUGGGGCAACAACUCGAAGACACUGAGAGAAAAGAAGAAAAACAAAUAAAAACCACUGACCAUUGAAACUUCUGUACUCAGAACAGCUUUGAAAAGUGAAAGCAAGUUUAUGGCAUGUGAAUUAUAUAGCAAUAAAGCUGUUAUUUAAAAAAAAUUUUUUUAAACGAUGGCAAGCUUCUGCUUUUGACUGAGAUGGUGUAACAGAGACAGAUUUACCUUCCUGCCUGAAACAACUAAGAAACUGAACAAAAUAUGUAUAUACAAAGUGACAUCAGCUGUCAGGUUUUUGGACACCAGGGAAUUAAGGACAAUGAUCCUGAGAGAUGGGAGCAAGUUAGCGUCCUGUCCAGAGGACCAGCACGGAGGACCAGCGAGAGGGCCGAAUGCAUGAUUGUCCUGCUCAGUGCCAUAUGGGGAGAGCAUGACGCCUCCCUGCACUAAACAGGAGAAAGAGACAGACGUCACUGCCCUGAGCUUGAAACCAGAGGGCUCUGCAUGGGUCCUGCCUGACGGAGAGGUCACCAUGUCGAAGGGAGGCCAUGAAGAAGUUAAGUAGAUGUGCAGGGAUCAAAUGCGUUAGGUUUGAAAUUUGAGUUUCUUUUUUAUCUUCAUUCCUGUGGUCUGGCACCAGGCCUCCUGUUCUGUGCUCUUGGUGGUACCAAGAAAGGGGCUGGGGCUGUCGGGGCGUCUGGGGAAACAGCAGAGACCUCAUCUGAAACAGAGAGCCUUCCACUGGGGGAGACCUCUUCUUACGGAUUUUGAGUUUCAUCAGAGUCGUACUUGGAGGGUGGGUUCUCCCCCCGCCAUAACAGGCAUGGAAUUAACACAGGGAGUAACCUACAUAUUUUCCAGAGAAGGGAGGUGGCCUGACCCAGACCUCUGACUCGGGGAGCAUUUCCUGAAUCCUCCAAGGGAGGGGAGAAGUAGGCUGUUUCCAUUUCACAGGUGUGGAUGAUGUUAUAGUCUGGGGCUCGCCUCAGCCAGGCCGGUGGCUGGCCAACGCAGAACCAAGGGCCUGUUUCCUGACCUUUGGUGGGGCUGCCCUGCAUUGGCUCUCUGUUCUGGGGCAGCUGGAGCUUGUCUGAAUGGGGCUGAGAAUGAAAAAGGGGGGGGCACUACCCGGUUACAUCCAGAAGUGGCCAGAAGCUAAUUUUCAAAAAACUUGAAGCAGGAAUAAUGAAAAUCCCCAUUCUUCAGAUCCAAACAGACCAAUCAGGGGCAAUGGAGAACUAGAAUGAAGCUUGCAGACUCUGGGGAAGAAAUUAAGCGUUUCGACUGAAGGUCACUGAAUAUCCUGGUUACUCCGGACAGAGCUGCUUCUAGAGAGAUCUGCGGGAGGUGCACCAUACGGCAGGUGGCAGGUUGGGUGUGUGCCCGCCACUUCCUUCCCUCUUUCUCUAUUCACGGCUUUGAAACAUGCUUGCCUCCAGGGCUUGAGGAAGAUGAGGCGAUUUGGUGAGAAAACAGCCAGAGCUAUGGCUAAAAUACCCGUCCAGUACAGCUUUGCAGUGGAAGGUUGAAGGUUAAUUUUAUGCCUCAGGUAAUAGAGGCAAGUGAAGAAAAUAGCGAUAGAGUCUGGUUCACCUUGAACUAAUUGAAUCAAGUGAUUCAAGGUUAACACUAUUUCUCAGAGGCUGUCAGCCCCUGGACCUUCUCAAAUGCAGAAAGGGGUGUGUGGGUGAGCCCCGCCUGGCUGCCUGGCCAGCACAGAGAUCAAAGCUUGGGACUGAAAGGCAGAAACCCCGAGCAGCAAAGGUGCUGCUGGCCAGGCUCAUUUUGCUGGCUUUUGGAGACUCUGAGCCUGUGUCCUUUUCUACAUUUAUUAAGCACUUGUUAUGUGCCAGAGGCUUAGACAUGAGGGGUUCUGUGAGGAAACAAGCAGAUAAGAUCCCUGUUCCGGUGGGGGAGUCAUAACAGUGCCAGUGGGUGCUCACAGCCCGUGCUCUGUGCCAGGCCGUCCUCUGGACACUUUGUGAGGGAUGAACUCCUUACUCUCCCAAAACGUGUGCAGAAGGACACCCAGGAAUGAGGCCAGGAGGCCCCAAGACUUGUCCAGAGCACACGCACAUAUGUGCAGCGUGUGGUCGUUCUGGGAUCAGUGCUUCCAUACCCAAAGAGGGCUGGCACAGCCCUGCAGGGAGGCGUUCACGCUGAGACCUGACUGGCUCUCUUAGGGCCCGUUCCUGGCUUCAGGAUAGAAAGCUGGGAACCAGCCCCAUCCUUGGACACUUGGCACUCAAGGCUGUGCUGGAAAUUCCCAGCAGCAAAGCCCUUUCUCCCUGCCCCUUUCUGGCCAGCGUCUGCAGUCAUGGGAGCAGACUUAAUGCCCUCCGGGACGAGUUUGCCCGUCCUUAGUGUUUUCAUGGGAAUUCACUUUCUGUUGUCAGCUGAUAUGGAGUCCAGAAGUGAAUAAAUGAGACCCAACAGAGA